UACGGAGGGGGCAAGCGUUGUUCGGAAUUACUGGGAGUAAAGGGCGCGUAGGCGGCGAGGCUAGGCAACGGUGAAAGCUUGGGGCUCAACCCCGAGUCGGCCGUCGAUACUUCCUUGCUUGAGCACUGUAGAGGCAGAUGGAAUUCCGGGUGUAGCGGUGGAAUGCGUAGAGAUCCGGAAGAACACCGGUGGCGAAGGCGGUCUGCUGGGCAGUAGCUGACGCUGAUGCGCGACAGCGUGGGGAGCAAACAGG
This 253-nucleotide ribosomal RNA is filed under the name uncultured bacterium. RNAcentral describes it as "partial 16S ribosomal RNA". It matches the Rfam family "Bacterial small subunit ribosomal RNA", at positions 524 to 776 of the family's 1533-position model. The record is from RNAcentral.